AAGUCGUAACAAGGUUUCCGUAGGUGAACCUGCGGAAGGAUCAUUAAUGAUUUUUUAAGCAAACCAAGCUUUUUUUUAUAAAAAGUGAGGUUUUGCGAAUGUAUUUAAAACCCCCACUCUUUUAAAAAAUAUAUAAUAUAUCAUUCAUAUAUAAAAUGAAUAAAAAAAAAGAUCACUUUCAACAACGGAUCUCUUGGCUCUC
RNAcentral lists this unclassified non-coding RNA (202 nucleotides) under Septoglomus viscosum. Its description in RNAcentral is "partial internal transcribed spacer region". The stretch from base 1 to 46 matches the Rfam family "Eukaryotic small subunit ribosomal RNA", at positions 1786 to 1831 of the family's 1831-position model. Lineage: Eukaryota; Fungi; Glomeromycota; Glomeromycetes; Glomerales; Glomeraceae. RNAcentral also lists the same sequence under 1 other name. The record is from RNAcentral.